UCGGCAGUGGAAACUGGAUAGCUAGAGGUCGGUAGGGGCAGAGGGAAUUCCCAGUGUAGCGGUGAAAUGCGUAGAUAUUGGGAAGAACACCGGUGGCGAAAGCGCUCUGCUGGGCCGAACCUGACGCUGAGGGACGAAAGCUAGGGGAGCGAAUGGGAUUAGAUACCCCAGUAGUCCUAGCCGUAAACGAUGGAAACUAGGUGUGGCCUGUAUCGACCCGGGCCGUGCCGAAGCUAACGCGUUAAGUUUCCCGCCUGGGGAGUACGCACGCAAGUGUGAAACUCAAAGGAAUUGACGGGGGCCCGCACAAGCGGUGGAGUAUGUGGUUUAAUUCGAUGCAACGCGAAGAACCUUACCAGGGCUUGACAUGCCGCGAAUCU
Molecule: ribosomal RNA, 380 nt
Filed under: Geitlerinema sp. KUAC 3211
Lineage: Bacteria; Bacillati; Cyanobacteriota; Cyanophyceae; Geitlerinematales; Geitlerinemataceae
Description: bacterial SSU rRNA
Rfam family: Bacterial small subunit ribosomal RNA
Source: RNAcentral